AUUAAUUUAUAUAGUUUAAUAAAAACAUUACAAUUUCAAUGUAAAAUUAGAUUUUAUCUUAUAAAUA
RNAcentral lists this transfer RNA (67 nucleotides) under Macrohaltica subplicata. RNAcentral describes it as "tRNA-Glu". The record is from RNAcentral. Lineage: Eukaryota; Metazoa; Arthropoda; Insecta; Coleoptera; Chrysomelidae.